GACGAACGCUGGCGGCGUGCUUAACACAUGCAAGUCGAACGGAAAGGCCCUGCUUUUGUGGGGUGCUCGAGUGGCGAACGGGUGAGUAACACGUGAGUAACCUGCCCUUGACUUUGGGAUAACUUCAGGAAACUGGGGCUAAUACCGGAUAGGAGCUCCUGCUGCAUGGUGGGGGUUGGAAAGUUUCGGCGGUUGGGGAUGGACUCGCGGCUUAUCAGCUUGUUGGUGGGGUAGUGGCUUACCAAGGCUUUGACGGGUAGCCGGCCUGAGAGGGUGACCGGCGACAUUGGGACUGAGAGACGGCGCAGACGCCUACGGGAGGCAGCAGUGGGGAAUAUGACACAGUGGGCGGGAGCCUGAUGCAGCAACGCCGCGUGCGGGAUGACGGCCUUCGGGUUGUGAACCGCUUUCGCCUGUGACGAAGCGGGAGUGACGGUAAUGAGUAAAGAAGCACCGGCUAACUACGUG
Molecule: ribosomal RNA, 468 nt
Filed under: uncultured bacterium
Lineage: Bacteria
Description: partial 16S ribosomal RNA
Rfam family: Bacterial small subunit ribosomal RNA
Source: RNAcentral